Molecule: long non-coding RNA, 1080 nt
Filed under: Homo sapiens (human)
Lineage: Eukaryota; Metazoa; Chordata; Mammalia; Primates; Hominidae
Description: novel transcript, sense intronic to HRH1
Source: RNAcentral
UUUUUUUUUUUUUUUUUUUUUUUUAAAGCACUGGCCAUCUUAUUCCCAUGGCAGGUCCUUGCUGCUCAGAGAGGCAGGCCGUGUGACUGGUCCUUGGUGCUCAGAGAGGCAGGCGGUGUGAUGGUUUUUGCCAUUUCUCCAUGCCUGGGACCUCCUAAGGUCAGGCAUUGUGUCUCAUUCACUGCUGCAUCUCCAGUGCCCGGCACAGUAAAUGAACAGAGCCAGUGCUCAGGCAGAGGGUGCCAAGUGAAAACAGGAUUAAAAGUCCCCCAGUCUUGGCCAUAGCUGGCCCCCACCUUCCACCUCCAACUCAAAUCUUAACAUAAUGAGAGCAAAUCAUUACGUAAAACUUACUAUAUCUGACAGGCACGAUUCUAAGUCCUUUACAUAUAUUAACGCAGUUAAUCUUCACACAACCUAUGAGGCAGAUGCUAUUAUUAUCCCCGUUUUACAGAUGAAGAAAUAGAGACACGGAGAGGUUAAGUAACUUGCCUAAAAUCGCACCACUCAGGAGUAGCAGCAGAAGCGGAAUCUGAACGCAGGCGGUCCAUCUCCAAGCUCUUCACCACUGAAUGUCUUGCUUCCUCUCUUAGAAUGGCCAGUGGAGCACAGCCUACCCUCUUUUGUGUCUGAGGUCGGCUUCCUCCCAGACAGGCAUAAAUUCUCAGAGCUUAAAUUCUUCCCUGUCAUGUCAGGCAUUAUCAGGAGUGGCAGAAGUGCUUUCCUAACACGCCGAGAUAAUGAUUUCCAAGCACAAGGAAAAGAAUCAGGCUAAUCUUGGCCGGGCCCGAUGACUCGCACCUGUAAUCCAAUAGUUUGGGAGGCCGAGGCGGGCGGAUCACCUGAGGUCAGGAGUUCAAGACCAGCCUGGCCAACUUGGUGAAACCCCGUCUCUACUAAAAAUACUAAAACUUAGCUGGGUGUGGUGGUGGGCACCUGUAGUCCCAGCUAUUUGGGAGGCUGAGGCAGGAGAAAUCACUUGAACCUGGGAGGCAGAGGUUGCAGUGAGCGGAGAUCAGGCCACUGCACUCCAGCCUGGGCAACAGAGCCAGACUCCAUUUCAAAAAAAAAAAAAAAAAA